This 408-nucleotide long non-coding RNA is filed under the name Homo sapiens (human). RNAcentral describes it as "HSALNT0081848". The record is from RNAcentral. Lineage: Eukaryota; Metazoa; Chordata; Mammalia; Primates; Hominidae.
AGGUGGGAGGAAAACCUACCACAGCUUCUCUUAAUGGCAUAUUCAGGCUUUACUUCAGAAAAGGGAAGCAUCUAAAAAAGAUUGGAAGAAUUUCUCACCACUCUGCAGGCAGCUGUCUCCUCCCAGCACCCAGGACCUGAACUCAGAAACUACCAGCAACACAGACGUCCACACAGGAGGACCGGACCUCGAUGAUGAGCUCACCCUCGCUCUUAACAAGCACUGGCUCUCUACAGAUGUCACUUCCUUUAAGGAUGAGAGACUUUAGAAGACUCUAAAAAUAAUCUACAGGAGGACCCAAGAGAUCCAACACGCUGGACUCCUCUAUAGGAUAUCAAAAGGAACUCCGGGUGAGGACGACAAGAGCUGAGCUCGGGUGCUUGCCUUCUGCACUCUCGGGAGGAGGCA